AGUGAACGCUGGCGGUAGGCCUAACACAUGCAAGUCGAACGGCAGCACAGGAGAGCUUGCUCUCUGGGUGGCGAGUGGCGGACGGGUGAGGAAUACAUCGGAAUCUACUCUGUCGUGGGGGAUAACGUAGGGAAACUUACGCUAAUACCGCAUACGACCUACGGGUGAAAGCAGGGGAUCUUCGGACCUUGCGCGAUUGAAUGAGCCGAUGUCGGAUUAGCUAGUUGGCGGGGUAAAGGCCCACCAAGGCGACGAUCCGUAGCUGGUCUGAGAGGAUGAUCAGCCACACUGGAACUGAGACACGGUCCAGACUCCUACGGGAGGCAGCAGUGGGGAAUAUUGGACAAUGGGCGCAAGCCUGAUCCUGCCAUACCGCGUGGGUGAAGAAGGCCUUCGGGUUGUAAAGCCCCUUUGUUGGGAAAGAAAUCCAGCUGGCUAAUACCCGGUUGGGAUGACGGUACCCAAAGAAUAAGCACCGGCUAACUUCGUGCCAGCAGCCGCGGUAA
RNAcentral lists this ribosomal RNA (506 nucleotides) under uncultured bacterium. RNAcentral's name for it is "partial 16S ribosomal RNA". It matches the Rfam family "Bacterial small subunit ribosomal RNA", at positions 29 to 523 of the family's 1533-position model. The record is from RNAcentral.